Molecule: transfer RNA, 70 nt
Filed under: Marmota marmota marmota (Alpine marmot)
Lineage: Eukaryota; Metazoa; Chordata; Mammalia; Rodentia; Sciuridae
Also listed under: 1 other name
Rfam family: tRNA
About the family: Transfer RNA (tRNA) molecules are approximately 80 nucleotides in length. Their secondary structure includes four short double-helical elements and three loops (D, anti-codon, and T loops).
Source: Rfam by way of RNAcentral
GGGGAUGUGGCUUAGUAGUAGAGUGCUUGCUUAGCAUGUAAUAGGCCCUGGGUUUAAUUCUCAGCACCCA